RNAcentral lists this ribosomal RNA (497 nucleotides) under uncultured bacterium. RNAcentral's name for it is "partial 16S ribosomal RNA". It matches the Rfam family "Bacterial small subunit ribosomal RNA", at positions 28 to 507 of the family's 1533-position model. The record is from RNAcentral.
GAUGAACGCUGGCGGCGUGCCUAAUACAUGCAAGUCGAGCGAACAGACGAGGAGCUUGCUCCUCUGACGUUAGCGGCGGACGGGUGAGUAACACGUGGAUAACCUACCUAUAAGACUGGGAUAACUUCGGGAAACCGGAGCUAAUACCGGAUAAUAUAUUGAACCGCAUUGUUCAAUAGUGAAAGACGGUUUUGCUGUCACUUAUAGAUGGAUCCGCGCCGCAUUAGCUAGUUGGUAAGGUAACGGCUUACCAAGGCAACGAUGCGUAGCCGACCUGAGAGGGUGAUCGGCCACACUGGAACUGAGACACGGUACAGACUCCUACGGGAGGCAGCAGUAGGGAAUCUUCCGCAAUGGGGGAAAGCCUGACGGAGCAAAGCCGCGUGAGUGAUGAAGGUCUUCGGAUCGUAAAACUCUGUUAUUAGGGAAGAACAAAUGUGUAAGUAACUAUGCACGUCUUGACGGUACCUAAUCAGAAAGCCACGGCUAACUACGUG